AGUGUUGACGGGCGGUGCGUGGGCACGCUUCGGCGUGGCCGGGAACCUAUGCCCCGGUUUUCCACCCCAUGCACCGUCCGUCGCCCAU
Methylocaldum sp. is the source of this 88-nucleotide non-coding RNA. The record is from Rfam. Lineage: Bacteria; Pseudomonadati; Pseudomonadota; Gammaproteobacteria; Methylococcales; Methylococcaceae.